RNAcentral lists this ribosomal RNA (253 nucleotides) under uncultured bacterium. RNAcentral describes it as "partial 16S ribosomal RNA". It matches the Rfam family "Bacterial small subunit ribosomal RNA", at positions 524 to 776 of the family's 1533-position model. The record is from RNAcentral.
UACGGGGGGGGCAAGCGUUGUUCGGAAUUACUGGGCGUAAAGGGCUCGUAGGCGGCCAACUAAGUCAGACGUGAAAUCCCUCGGCUUAACCGGGGAACUGCGUCUGAUACUGGAUGGCUAGAGUUUGGGAGAGGGAUGCGGAAUUCCAGGUGUAGCGGUGAAAUGCGUAGAUAUCGGGAGGAACACCUGAGGCGAAGGCGGGCUACUGGGCCGAUACUGACGCUGAUGUGCGAAAGCCAGGGGAGCGAACGGG